Molecule: long non-coding RNA, 617 nt
Filed under: Homo sapiens (human)
Lineage: Eukaryota; Metazoa; Chordata; Mammalia; Primates; Hominidae
Description: HSALNT0170272
Source: RNAcentral
UGCCUGGGCUUGUUCCACGCUCCCCUGGCUAGACAGGCAUCUACACAUUCUCAGUUAGGGGCUGGACAGGGGCAGCUGCUAGACAGGCCCUAUUCUGGGCCUCUCUGAAAAGAAGAGUCCCUGAAAAGAAAGGGAGCCUCCCGCUUCCGUGGCCCCUUAGCCAUGCCAAGGGGCAGCAACCGGCUUUCUGCUGAUGCUGAUGAGCUGUGGUGUGAACUCACGAAGGCUGCUCAGGACCGAGGCUGAGACGGGCGACCAGGACGGGACUGUAUGGCUGCAGGAGGCUACACAGCCUCAGGAGGCUGCUUCUAAGAGGCCCACGUCGCCUGCAUGGGGACGCGCCUGGCUCUCCAGCAUGUGGUCAUUUGAAUUGUACAUGUUUCACUAGGAUGCCUACAGAAAAGUAUACAGAAGAUCUGGAAAAAGUUUUUGAAAUGUUGAAAACUUAGCUACUUUUAAAAUGAAAAAAAUAGCUUUAUAAUUAUCAAAGCAAUAUAUCCCAGUGUAAAUUUUAAAAUAAUUUGCUACAUUAUAGUAAGCAUCUUAUCUCUAUGUGCCCUAUAACAUUAUGUUGUAUAGUUUAAAUAUAUACAAUAAAAUUUAUUUUAAAAAAUAGC